RNAcentral lists this ribosomal RNA (497 nucleotides) under uncultured bacterium. RNAcentral's name for it is "partial 16S ribosomal RNA". It matches the Rfam family "Bacterial small subunit ribosomal RNA", at positions 28 to 507 of the family's 1533-position model. The record is from RNAcentral.
GAUGAACGCUGGCGGCGUGCCUAAUACAUGCAAGUCGAGCGAACAGACGAGGAGCUUGCUCCUCUGACGUUAGCGGCGGACGGGUGAGUAACACGUGGAUAACCUCCCUAUAAGACUGGUAUAACUUCGGGAAACCGGAUCUAAUACCGGAUAAUAUAUUGAACCGCAUGGUUCAAUAGUGAAAGACGGUUUUGCUGUCACUUAUAGAUGGAUCCGCGCCGCAUUAGAUAGUUGGUAAGGUAACGGCUUACCAAGGCAACGAUGCGUAGCCGACCUGAGAGGGUGGUCGGCCACACUGGAACUGAGACACGGUCCAGACUACUACGAGAGGCAGCAGUAGGGAAUCUUCCGCAAUGGGCGAGAGCCUGACGGAGCAACGCCGCGUGAGUGAUGAAGGUCUUCGGAUCGUAAAACUCUGUUAUUAGGGAAGAACAAAUGUGUAAGUAAAUAUGCACGUAUUGACGGUACCUAAUAAGAAAGCCACGGCUAACUACGUG